AUGGUUAGUGUAAGGGUUGAGAGUUGCGCGUUAAGGGUAAAGAUAUGGGAGGUUGUUUGCAGAAUGUCGUGGAUGAUUUUGGAAGAGGGAAAGGGUUUGACGGUGAUGAUUCAUCUAGGAGGUGAAGAAUUUGUGUUAAGACUGUUUUGGAUAGGUUUAUGCACAGGUUUAUGGUCUGGUAUGGACAGUAUACAGGGUUGGAUUUUGGAGUCUUUUGGGCAGCAACAACAGGGUUGUUUUGUGUCUAAUUUUUGCAGCCUGUAG
Molecule: non-coding RNA, 264 nt
Organism: Vicia faba (fava bean)
Lineage: Eukaryota; Viridiplantae; Streptophyta; Magnoliopsida; Fabales; Fabaceae
Source: the annotation of a GenBank genome assembly